Molecule: ribosomal RNA, 102 nt
Filed under: uncultured bacterium
Lineage: Bacteria
Description: partial 16S ribosomal RNA
Source: RNAcentral
UACACACCGCCCGUCAAACGAUGAAAGCUGUUUGCACCUGAAGUCCUUUUAGCUAACUCGUAAGAGAGGCGUAGGCCCAAGGUGCGGGUAGUGAUUGUGGUU